RNAcentral lists this ribosomal RNA (243 nucleotides) under uncultured bacterium. RNAcentral's name for it is "partial 16S ribosomal RNA". It matches the Rfam family "Bacterial small subunit ribosomal RNA", at positions 524 to 765 of the family's 1533-position model. The record is from RNAcentral.
GACGAACCGUGCGAACGUUGUUCGGAAUCACUGGGCUUAAAGGGUGCGUAGGCUGGCAGGCAAGUCAGGGGUGAAAGCCCACGGCUUAACCGUGGAAGUGCCUUUGAUACUGCUUGUCUGGAGGGGGAUAGGGGCGUGCGGAACUCCGGUGGAGCGGUGAAAUGCGUAGAUAUCGGAAGGAACACCGGUGGCGAAAGCGGCGCGCUGGAUCCCUACUGACGCGUGAGGCACGGAAAGCCAGGG